RNAcentral lists this small nucleolar RNA (169 nucleotides) under Zea mays. RNAcentral describes it as "small nucleolar RNA snoR143". It matches the Rfam family "small nucleolar RNA snoR143". The record is from Rfam by way of RNAcentral. Lineage: Eukaryota; Viridiplantae; Streptophyta; Magnoliopsida; Poales; Poaceae.
UUGCACCUAUAUUUAUUUUUACCUGCCAUCUUUUAUGAUGGUGUGUACUUAAGUUGGUGCAUAGAGGAAAUGCUGCUCUUGUAGCAGCGGCGGCCAGACAACCGUUGAGAGAUGGAUCCACAGAUGAACAAUCUUUCUGCUGUUUGUCUACUAAUUCUAUCUCACAUUG